GUGGGGAAUUUUGGACAAUGGGCGCAAGCCUGAUCCAGCAAUGCCGCGUGCAGGAAGAAGGCCUUCGGGUUGUAAACUGCUUUUGUACGGAACGAAACGGUCCGGGUUAAUACCCUGGGCUAAUGACGGUACCGUAAGAAUAAGCACCGGCUAACUACGUGCCAGCAGCCGCGGUAAUACGUAGGGUGCAAGCGUUAAUCGGAAUUACUGGGCGUAAAGCGUGCGCAGGCGGUUUUGUAAGACAGGCGUGAAAUCCCCGGGCUCAACCUGGGAAUUGCGCUUGUGCCUGCAAGGCUGGAGUGCGGCAGAGGGGGAUGGAAUUCCGCGUGUAGCAGUGAAAUGCGUAGAUAUGCGGAGGAACACCGAUGGCGAAGGCAAUCCCCUGGGCCUGCACUGACGCUCAUGCACGAAAGCGUGGGGAGCAAACAGGAUUAGAAACCCCUGUAGUCC
RNAcentral lists this ribosomal RNA (450 nucleotides) under uncultured bacterium. RNAcentral's name for it is "bacterial SSU rRNA". It matches the Rfam family "Bacterial small subunit ribosomal RNA", at positions 354 to 796 of the family's 1533-position model. The record is from RNAcentral.